Molecule: non-coding RNA, 64 nt
Organism: Mycena leptocephala
Lineage: Eukaryota; Fungi; Basidiomycota; Agaricomycetes; Agaricales; Mycenaceae
Source: the annotation of a GenBank genome assembly
GUGUCCUUGGUGUAACGGUAACACAACAUUUGGUUGGUCCGGGGUUCGACUCCUCGAGGAUGCC